AAAUCAUAUAAAAAUCAACAAAAGAAAAAUAUUUCUAUUCAUCAAAUUCACCUCUGUUAGUAAGUUGAAUUUAAUCAAAAUGAGCAGAUAUAUUUUGUAGGUUAAAAAAGUAAGUAAUUGGGAAUUUUACUAUUUAAUUUUUUGAGACUUUUAAUUUAUUAUUCUUAUAUUUUAUUGUAAACUUGUCUUUAAAAAGUUUAGAGUCAUUAGAAGGCAGUAAAUGUUUUAAUUGAUAAAACAUUUUUUUUUAGAAAAACAGACAAUUAUGUACUUGAAUUAGGGUUGACAAUCAGUAUUUAUUGUUACAAAAUGAUGUUUAUACAUGCAUGGUACCCAAUAACAGUACUCUGUUAGCUGUGUGUACUGGUUUAUACAGGCAGUUUUUACAUUUCUCAUUCAUUUUUGUUCUGAUAAGUAAAUUUCUAAUAAAGCAAUCAACACCUAUCAAUGUAUAUUCCAUCGUCAACAAAGGUUAUUUAGUUUUCAAAAAAGAAGAGGAAAGAAAUAAAUUUACUGUUAUUUAGUUUGUUGUAAUUCUACACCAUAAUAUUCGUCUUUUGUAUAAUUAUUGUUACUUAUAUCACACUAAUGCAUUUAAAAAUUAAAUGUUAAAAUGUAUAUUCUAUAAACUGUAUUGCUUUUGAAGUAUUAUUAUUAUUAUUAUUAUGUAAGGUCAGCUUGAAGGACAUUUCCCUAUUUUUCCUUAUAAGGACAGUUAUUUUUACAGAAACAAUCAUUUUUGGAAUUCUUUUGGUUGUAAUAAUAUUAAUAGUCCUACAGUUAUAAUCUUUAUCAUGUAUUUUUUUUACUCACAUACAAUCUUAGGGAACAUACCAUUGCCAAAGUAGACGUAUGGAAGUGAAGAUGAUAUUAUUGUUCUUGAACUAAUCAAGAAUUUCUAAUUUUAAUAUCCAAAUUUAAAGUUGUGUGAGUCAAUACUUUGAUACUAUUUUAUUUUUAAAUUGUUUUUUUUAGAUGUAGAUAUAAAGAAAUGGUUUUAUUUUCUCUUUUAUCAUUAAAAGAGACUUCUCAUUUUGCAUAUAUUAUGAUAGUUAACAGAUAUUGUCUGAGUCUUUUCUGGGUAAUCUGUUUGAAAAGUCCAUGAAGACAAGAUAUUGUCUGAGGCCUUUCUGGGUAAUCUGUUUGAAAAGUCCAUGACGACAAUGGAAACAAUAGCAUUGCCAUUUUGAAUUAAAGCAAAAGAAGAAGUUCAAAGUAAGGAAAAGAAUUCAGAUUGACAUGAUGAAUGUAUUAUUUUUAUGAUGGAAAUCUUUGUGUAGUUUUAAUUUCAUUUUUGGGUAAAGAUUGCUUGAAAUGCAAGCAAAACCCUAUGGCACUGUCUUGAUAUCUAUAUUCUCCAUGGUUUAUCACUACAUUUGAUUGUUUAAACAAAACAGUGCAGUGAUGUAAUCAUUAUUUGAUCCUAUCCAGGUUAUGUCAUGCAAUAUAUUGAUGAUAAUAAAUGUUAUACUUUAGUAAAAAUAUGAUAU
RNAcentral lists this long non-coding RNA (1490 nucleotides) under Mytilus galloprovincialis (Mediterranean mussel). Lineage: Eukaryota; Metazoa; Mollusca; Bivalvia; Mytilida; Mytilidae. The record is from RNAcentral.